Molecule: ribosomal RNA, 67 nt
Filed under: Eutreptiella gymnastica
Lineage: Eukaryota; Euglenozoa; Euglenophyceae; Eutreptiales; Eutreptiaceae
Description: partial Eukaryotic small subunit ribosomal RNA
Source: RNAcentral
CUAGAACGAGAGUGUGGGGAGCGAAAAUGAUCAGAUACCGUCGUAGUCCACUACCCUAAACUAUGUC